UACGUAGGGUGCGAGCGUUGUCCGGAAUUAUUGGGCGUAAAGGGCUCGUAGGCGGUUUGUCGCGUCGGGAGUGAAAACCCAGGGCUUAACUCUGGGCUGGCUUCGAUACGGGCAGACUAGAGGUAUGCAGGGGAGAACGGAAUUCCUGGUGUAGCGGUGAAAUGCGCAGAUAUCAGGAGGAACACCGGUGGCGAAAGGCGGUUCUCUGGGCAUUACCUGACGCUGGAGGAGCGAAACGCGUGGGG
This 245-nucleotide ribosomal RNA is filed under the name uncultured bacterium. RNAcentral describes it as "partial 16S ribosomal RNA". It matches the Rfam family "Bacterial small subunit ribosomal RNA", at positions 524 to 766 of the family's 1533-position model. The record is from RNAcentral.